RNAcentral lists this long non-coding RNA (777 nucleotides) under Malus domestica (apple). Its description in RNAcentral is "long non-coding RNA (MDOM_LNC003870)". Lineage: Eukaryota; Viridiplantae; Streptophyta; Magnoliopsida; Rosales; Rosaceae. The record is from RNAcentral.
AAUAAAUCAGGUCAUACUUUUCACAACUUUUUCUUUUUUUCUUUCUAUUUUCCACGAAUUUUUUUCUUUCUUCUUUUUUUUUUCUUUUCUAACCCAUGCCUCAUUUAAGACUUUGGCCCCAACACAUAAAAAUCACUUCCCCCACACUUGUUUUCUGCACUACAUUGAUCAAAAGGAAUUCAAUUGAGUCAUGCUUAACUACGCUUUAAGAACAAGGGUAUGGAUAUUCCUAAUCUAGGCUAGGUAAGGAUAAUGUGGGUUAACAAACAACAUAGGCUAACAAGGCUCAACGGGGUUAAACCUACAAAAACAAAUGCAUGGAAUGAAGGCUUUUUUGGCUAUGGUGGUAACUACUAAACAACUUCAUCUUGAAUAUGUGUUAUGCAAUUCAAUAACAUGUUUUGAAUGAAAUUGGCAUGAGUUCUAGUGCAUUUGGAACUAAAUGAUGAAACGCCUUCUAAGUAGUAGCAACCAAGCAAAGAAUAAUGAGAUCAUGCAACGACUUUAGAAAACAAAGAAUGCACAGAUUUUAACUCUCCAAAUAAACGUUUAGGCUCAAGUCUCACAAGGUUGUAGCGUUAAUUUGAGUUCCUUCCUUCAAGCAUGUUACAAAAACUGAUUUUUUUUCUUUAUGAUUACAUGUGAAUUCAUAAGUUAUAACCACAACCAAGCAUAAACCAAAGAGUAAAUCAAAACUUUCAUCCAUGUUUAUAACUCUCUUUAACAGUCAUGCAAUUAAAAACCAGAAUCCUCAUCAUUGUGUUGGAAGGUACCCUA